Long non-coding RNA from Gallus gallus (chicken), 1694 nucleotides. The record is from Ensembl. Lineage: Eukaryota; Metazoa; Chordata; Aves; Galliformes; Phasianidae.
ACUAGGUAAUCUUACAGAUCUUUUCCAGCCUUAAUGAUUCUGUGAUUGUAGUUAGGCUGCAGGUCCUCUGAUCCAGCAUCCUGGGUGGUCCAUGCUGCCCAAAGCACGGUCACCUUCCAAAUGAGAGGGAACACUGUAAGUGAUGGGGACUAAACAACAAGUGCUGUUACAGGAACCUGGAUCAUAUGUCUAAAACACUUUCCUUUUAGAUUACAGCACAACCAGGCUUAAUAAAUGAAACAAUUCAGUAUAUACUUGCAGGUUUUACAAAAGCUGUUCCACAAAGUUGAUCAAAAAGCUGAGUCAGUAACAAAAUGGUGAGAGAUGCAUGGGUUGGUAGGGGCGGGCUUCGCUCCGGGGAGCAGUUCUGAGCCCAGCAUUAGAUAGGAUGUUCCCAUUCCAGAUAAAUAUCCCAUUCCAGAGUAUAAAACGCACCAGCUGGAAGAAGGAUGCUGCUGUGAUCUGUAGUGGUGGAGUAAAAAAAAGAUCGCAUCAAUGCUUUGACCCUGGUGAAAAUAUACAAAGUCCUGCCCCUUCCUGGACUGAAACCUGAGGACCUGUCACAGGCAGGGAGCAAGUGCAUCUGUGCUGAGUGCCAGGGAGUGUGGCUGCAUCUCUGGGUGUGUCUCUUGGCUGCUGGGAGGGCAGGAGAGAAGUUGGGAAUGGUUUUACUCAGCAGGGAGAUACGGGGAGCCAUGUCCUCGUCCCAGUGGAAUUCUAUCUAAAUUCUGCCCGUUUUCAUACUUCGAAGAGGAAGGUUACACUACUGGAAUAGACCUCAUAGCUUAGCAAGUGAAUAACCGGGAGGCCUGGAGUGCCCAAUGUACAAAUAAUGGUUUUCUUUCCUCUUCUUCCCUCUAUGCCGCACUCAUUUCAUUUGUCCUGCUAUACAUUACUCAGUGCCAGGGGAAACUGCAGCUCCUGAGCAGGACUUGAGGAGUGCUGUGCAGGUCCUGCCUCCCACCUCAGCCCCAUGAGCUGCCAGAAGCGAAAGCCCAGCCUGCGCUGUGCCCGCAGAGCAUUGCACUGCAAAUAAUGAGAAAGAACUGCGUUAUACUACAGGAAGCAAUGCGUUUUACUGCACAAGAAUAUGGGGCUGGAAAUUUAAACAUUCCGGGUGGAUGGGUAAAAUGAAUAGCAAAUGUUUACUUGCUGUACACAACGUGCAAAGUCUAUUUACCUGUUGUUUCAAAUAGGGCUGUUUCCGGGACAACAGAGGUUAAAACAGGCUGCAGCCUGCUUUUCUGUACUUAAUGAGGCACUCUCCAUCACUGCUGCGGAAGGAAGCUCUUUAAGACUCAUAAGCUGUAACUUGAGCAGAAAUUGGAGCUUUGCACAGGGAUGGAUGUAAGCUGGGUUACGAUCUCCCGUGCCUCCUUCAGCAACCGGGUGCCUCCGAUGAACGCUGCCCGGCCAUUGCAAUUUGCCAUGCUUGAGUUCUUCCUUCGCUUUCUCCCUGGGGAUUAAUAUCCGUUAUGGCAACAUCCUGGUUUCCUGUGCAAAGUGCUUUUGGGACAGCAAUUCCCCAUCAUCCUUUGUAGCAAAGAACAGAUCAAAAGCAAUACCUCUCGAAAUACGCCCACGCGUGUGCUAUUGCAUCAAUACUGCUUUGUUCACUGGUACUCAGUGCUCCGCUUUGUGCCAGAAAGUGAUGACAUUUAGUAAUAGUGUAGACACUGCGUGGCAAAAAUAGC